This 369-nucleotide ribosomal RNA is filed under the name Proceratophrys boiei (Bioe's frog). RNAcentral's name for it is "partial 16S ribosomal RNA". It matches the Rfam family "Bacterial large subunit ribosomal RNA", at positions 1994 to 2515 of the family's 2925-position model. Lineage: Eukaryota; Metazoa; Chordata; Amphibia; Anura; Alsodidae. The record is from RNAcentral.
GAAUGGCAUCACGAAGGUUAUACUGUCUCCUUUCUCUAAUCAGUGAAACUAAUCUUCCCGUGAAGAAGCGGGAAUCUACAUAUAAGACGAGAAGACCCUAUGGAGCUUUAAACGAAAUAACAACUACCACAAUAAAUAAUAAUUCCAGAAGUUUAACUUUUACCCAGGUAUUUUGUCUAUUAGUUUUAGGUUGGGGUGACCGCGGAGCAAAAAACAACCUCCGCACUGAACGGGGCCAACCCUAAACAAAAAGCUACAACUUUAUGUAUCAGCACACUGACACCAAUUGACCCAAUAAUUUGAUCAACGAACCAAGUUACCCUAGGGAUAACAGCGCAAUCCAUUUCAAGAGCCCCUAUCGACAAAUGG